This 497-nucleotide ribosomal RNA is filed under the name uncultured bacterium. Its description in RNAcentral is "partial 16S ribosomal RNA". It matches the Rfam family "Bacterial small subunit ribosomal RNA", at positions 28 to 507 of the family's 1533-position model. The record is from RNAcentral.
GAUGAACGCUGGCGGCGUGCCUAAUACAUGCAAGUCGAGCGAACAGAUGAGGAGCUUGCUCCUCUGACGUUAGCGGCGGACGGGUGAGUAACACGUGGAUAACCUACCUAUAAGACUGGGAUAACUUCGGGAAACCGGAGCUAAUACCGGAUAAUAUAUUGAACCGCAUGGUUCAAUAGUGAAAGACGGUUUUGCUGUCACUUAUAGAUGGAUCCGCGCCGCAUUAGCUAGUUGGUAAGGUAACGGCUUACCAAGGCAACGAUGCGUAGCCGACCUGAGAGGGUGAUCGGCCACACUGGAACUGAGACACGGUCCAGACUCCUACGGGAGGCAGCAGUAGGGAAUCUUCCGCAAUGGGCGAAAGCCUGACGGAGCAACGCCGCGUGAGUGAUGAAGGUCUUCGGAUCGUAAAGCUCUGUUAUUAGGGAAGAACAAAUGUGUAAUUAACUAUGCACGUCUUGACGGUACCUAACCAGAAAGCCACGGCUAACUACGUG